This 245-nucleotide ribosomal RNA is filed under the name uncultured bacterium. RNAcentral describes it as "partial 16S ribosomal RNA". It matches the Rfam family "Bacterial small subunit ribosomal RNA", at positions 524 to 768 of the family's 1533-position model. The record is from RNAcentral.
UACGGGGGGAGCAAGCGUUGUUCGGAAUCACUGGGCGUAAAGGGCGCGUAGGCGGUUCGGUAAGUGAGAUGUGAAAGGCUCCGGCUCACCCGGAGAAAUGCAUCUCAUACUGCUGAGCUGGAGUACAGGAGAGGAAACGAGAAUUCCAGGUGUAGCGGUGAAAUGCGUAGAUAUCUGGAGGAAUACCGGUGGCGAAGGCGCGUUUCUGGCCUGUUACUGACGCUGAUGCGCGAUAGCCAGGGGAG